Melospiza melodia melodia is the source of this 523-nucleotide long non-coding RNA. RefSeq lists it as uncharacterized. The transcript has 3 exons. The record is from RefSeq and is a predicted model, not a curated record. NCBI's taxonomy places the organism in Eukaryota, Metazoa, Chordata, Aves, Passeriformes, Passerellidae.
ACUUCUUUUCCCUUAUUUUACCAACUUCUUAAUUCUUUUUCCUCCAUUCUUUUUGUUAAGAAAUUUUGGUCAACAAUACUUGCACUUCCAUGCACAUUAUGAGAUACUGUUGUCAUAAGAGGAGACAAUUUGAUCUUUUCCAGUCCUGUCACAAUUUUCACCCUCAACCUUUCUGAUAGUUUUGCUAGAAUAAGAUCACCUCAUGGAUAAUUGGUCCUGGCUAGAAGAUGCCUUCAAACACUGGAAUGAGCUCUGUGUGCUAGAAGACGAUUUCAUCUCAAGGGGACUCUCUGCCGUGUGUUUGAACACAUCACCUGAGUAGAACCUGUCCUUCAAGCCAAGAUUGAUUAAGCACUGUGAGUUAAUCAAAUGACAGACAUCAACAAGGGCAUAAAGCAGUAUUUGUCCUAAACACAAUACAUUGGCCCAGGGCUUAUAAAGAUACAACAGCAACAAAUGAAAGCACAGAGCUGUAAUUUGUGUGAGGAAACUCAUGACUGCUAAUAAAUUUUGUUGACAAACA